GAGUUGCGAACGGGUGAGUAACGCGUAGGUAACCUGCCUGGUAGCGGGGGAUAACUAUUGGAAACGAUAGCUAAUACCGCAUAACAGUAGAUGUUGCAUGACAUUUACUUAAAAGGUGCAAUUGCAUCACUACCAGAUGGACCUGCGUUGUAUUAGCUAGUUGGUGGGGUAACGGCUCACCAAGGCGACGAUACAUAGCCGACCUGAGAGGAUGACCAGCCACACUGGAACUGAGACACGGUCCAGACUCC
RNAcentral lists this ribosomal RNA (251 nucleotides) under uncultured Streptococcus sp. RNAcentral's name for it is "partial 16S ribosomal RNA". It matches the Rfam family "Bacterial small subunit ribosomal RNA", at positions 93 to 339 of the family's 1533-position model. The record is from RNAcentral. Lineage: Bacteria; Bacillati; Bacillota; Bacilli; Lactobacillales; Streptococcaceae.